Molecule: ribosomal RNA, 706 nt
Filed under: Schultesia crenuliflora
Lineage: Eukaryota; Viridiplantae; Streptophyta; Magnoliopsida; Gentianales; Gentianaceae
Description: eukaryotic LSU rRNA
Rfam family: 5.8S ribosomal RNA (bases 281-436)
Source: RNAcentral
AGUCGUAACAAGGUUUCCGUAGGUGAACCUGCGGAAGGAUCAUUGUCGAAUCCUGCGAAGCAGACGACCAGCGAACGUGUUCUUACAUCACGGCGUACGUACGUGGGAAACCACGCGACGGCGCCCCCGCACGAUGUCGGCAUGACCGCUCGUCGUGUGGAACACAACAACCCGGGCGCGAAAAGCGCCAAGGAAAACUUAAAAGAGGACAGCCCGCCCCUCUCGACGCCCCGUUCGCGGUGUACGCGGGAGGGGGUUGGGCGCCUGUACAAACAAAAACGACUCUCGGCAACGGAUAUCUCGGCUCUCGCAUCGAUGAAGAACGUAGCGAACUGCGAUACUUGGUGUGAAUUGCAGAAUCCCGUGAACCAUCGAGUCUUUGAACGCAAGUUGCGCCCGAAGCCACCAGGCCAAGGGCACGUCUGCCUGGGCGUCACGCAUCGCGUCGCCCCCCAUCAAUCCCGUGCGGUUCGAUGGGGGGCGGAAACUGGCCUCCCGUGCCCGUGUGCGGCUGGCCUAAAAUUGAGUCCCACGUGACGGACGCGACGACUUGUGGUGGUUGACUUCCUCAACUUGAGCGCUUGUCGUCGGGGCACCGUCGUACGUGGUGACUGUCCCGACCCUAUUGGCACGUGUCGUCAAGACCCGUGCCCACGACCGCGACCCCAGGUCAGGCGGGACUACCCGCUGAGUUUAAGCAUAUCAU